AAUCAACGCUGGCGGCGUGCCUAACACAUGCAAGUCGAACGCGAAAGCCCCUUCGGGGGUAAGUAGAGUGGCGUCCGGGUGAGUAACACGUAGGUAAUCUACCUUCGGGUGGGGAAGUAACUCGCCGAAGGCGAGCUAAUACCGCAUAAUGCAGCGGCACCUAAUGGUGAUUAGUUGUUAAAGCGGGGGAUCGUAAGACUCGCGCCUGAAGAGGAGCCUGCGGCAGAUUAGCUAG
RNAcentral lists this ribosomal RNA (235 nucleotides) under uncultured bacterium. RNAcentral's name for it is "partial 16S ribosomal RNA". It matches the Rfam family "Bacterial small subunit ribosomal RNA", at positions 32 to 248 of the family's 1533-position model. The record is from RNAcentral.